This 64-nucleotide transfer RNA is filed under the name Scydosella musawasensis. Its description in RNAcentral is "tRNA-Ala". Lineage: Eukaryota; Metazoa; Arthropoda; Insecta; Coleoptera; Ptiliidae. The record is from RNAcentral.
AGGAUAAUAGUUAAAUCUAUAACAUUAAAUUUGCAAUUUAAAAUUAUUUUAUAAAUUUAUCUUA